Molecule: non-coding RNA, 550 nt
Organism: Myodes glareolus (Bank vole)
Lineage: Eukaryota; Metazoa; Chordata; Mammalia; Rodentia; Cricetidae
Source: RefSeq, a predicted model, not a curated record
UCAACAACAAUGAAGUCGCACAGUCGGCCCACCCCAGAACACAACUUUCAAGGCAACCGCCCCAUCCCUGUCUACAUCUCCGCAACCAGAAGACUCGCGCAGAGGGAAUCCUCUGCUCUCAAAAGUUACGGAGUCCGUUACACUCGCGCCCCGCUGGAAAGCAGGGUGAGUCCCCAGAGUAGAACCGCCGAGUUGGACAGACGGGCGGGAAUUCAGACCUGGUGGUGUGGACGAGGGUCACCUUUGGACCUGGCCAGGCUCGUCUGACCACUGCUCCAAGAAGGCAGCGCUCGUCCAAGCCCAGAGGAGCUAAGAGAAAGAAUCCUAUUAUGAAAUGGAAAUGAAAACUACUUUGAGAUUCCAUCUCACCCCAGUCAAAAUGGUUACCAUCAAGAAGACAAAUGACAAGAGAUGCUGACACACCAAGAAGACACCAUCUGGAUACAGAGUGCAGCCUGACUUCAUCAAAUACAGAAUCAGGUGGUGCCUUGUUCUCUCCCUAUCCUUUGGGCACCUUGAAAAAUAUAUCUUUCUCCCCAUCACUCCCUCU